UACGAAGGGGGCUAGCGUUGCUCGGAAUGACUGGGCGUAAAGGGCGCGUAGGCGGUUUGUUUCGUUAGGCGUGAAAUUCCUGGGCUCAACCUGGGGACUGCGCUUAAUACAGGCAGACUUGAGUGUGGAAGAGGGUCGUGGAAUUCCCAGUGUAGAGGUGAAAUUCGUAGAUAUUGGGAAGAACACCGGUGGCGAAGGCGGCGACCUGGUCCAUUACUGACGCUGAGGCGCGAAAGCGUGGGGAGCAAACAGG
This 253-nucleotide ribosomal RNA is filed under the name uncultured bacterium. RNAcentral describes it as "partial 16S ribosomal RNA". It matches the Rfam family "Bacterial small subunit ribosomal RNA", at positions 524 to 776 of the family's 1533-position model. The record is from RNAcentral.